This 468-nucleotide ribosomal RNA is filed under the name uncultured bacterium. RNAcentral describes it as "partial 16S ribosomal RNA". It matches the Rfam family "Bacterial small subunit ribosomal RNA", at positions 28 to 507 of the family's 1533-position model. The record is from RNAcentral.
GACGAACGCUGGCGGCGUGCUUAACACAUGCAAGUCGAACGGAAAGGCCCCGCUUUUGUGGGGUGCUCGAGUGGCGAACGGGUGAGUAACACGUGAGUAACCUGCCCUUGACUUUGGGAUAACUUCAGGAAACUGGGGCUAAUACCGGAUAGGCGCUCCUGCUGCAUGGUGGGGGUUGGAAAGUUUCGGCGGUUGGGGAUGGACUCGCGGCGUAUCAGCUUGUUGGUGGGGUAGUGGCUUGCCAAGGCUUUGCCGGGUAGCCGGCCUGAGAGGGUGACCGGCCACAUUGGGACUGAUAUACGGCCAAGACGCCUACGGGAGUAAGGAGUGGGGAAUAGUGCACUAAGGGCGGAAGCCUGAUGCAGCAACGCCGCGUGCGGGAUGACGGCCUUCGGUUGGUAGCCCGCUUGCGCCUGUGUCGGAGCGUGAGUGACGGUAAUGGGUAAAGAAGCACCGGCUAACUACGUG